CGAGCACGCGCGUGUGGCAUAUCAAUAAGCGGAGGAAAAGAAACUAACAAGGAUUCCCCUAGUAACGGCGAGUGAAGCGGGAAGAGCUCAAAGUUGAAAUCUUAAAGGGUUUCCCUUUACGAAUUGUAGUUUAAAGAAGUGUUUUCUGUUGGAGUUUCGGUAAAAGUUCUUUGGAAUAGGACAUCAUAGAGGGUGAGAAUCCCGUAUUUGACCAGUUACUUUCCAGCUUUGUGAUACACUUUCAAAGAGUCGGAUUGUUUGGGAAUGCAGUCCAAAAUGGGUGGUAAAUUUCAUCUAAAGCUAAAUAUUGGCGAGAGACCGAUAGCGAGCAAGUACCGUGAGGGAAAGAUGAAAAGAACUUUGAAAAGAGAGUUAAACAGUACGUGAAAUUGUCAAAAGGGAAGCGUUUGACACCAGUGUUGUUUUUCCGAAAAUCGAUUACGAAUGUUUUGUUUUUAAGGAGUUAUGACUUCAUCGGCUUGCUUCUUUCUUUACGAAACUUUCUUAAUGCACUUUUCGGUUAACAAGUCAACAUCAAUUUCUUUUGUUGUAAAAGGGUAUGAGGAAGGUGGCUUUCUUUUCGGAGAAAGUGUUUAUAGCCUUGUACCUCUGCAAUCGGAGAGAUUGAGGUCUGCAGCGUAGAUCCUUCGGGAUUAGAUACAUUUGUACUAAGUUAUAGCUUUUCAUAGACAACUUGUUGACUAUGUUAGUCUUGUAGCUUACUCGCUUAUGCUAUUUUACCUACGCUUAGGAUGUUGAUGUGAUACUGCGAGCA
Molecule: ribosomal RNA, 775 nt
Filed under: uncultured Neocallimastigales
Lineage: Eukaryota; Fungi; Neocallimastigomycota; Neocallimastigomycetes; Neocallimastigales
Description: partial large subunit ribosomal RNA
Rfam family: Eukaryotic large subunit ribosomal RNA
Source: RNAcentral